Topomyia yanbarensis is the source of this 549-nucleotide long non-coding RNA. RefSeq lists it as uncharacterized. The record is from RefSeq and is a predicted model, not a curated record. The transcript has 2 exons. Lineage: Eukaryota; Metazoa; Arthropoda; Insecta; Diptera; Culicidae.
CGAACAAACAACGCUCGGUCUCAUUUUCAUUCCACAUAAAUCGUAGAUUGUCGUUAAAAUUAUAUCGUGAGUCUGGUGGCACCCUAAUUGAUAUCGAUUUUUCUACAAUUGCUGAAACUAAAUUUAGUGAAUUUGUUUUAAAAUAAAACCACAGCUAUGCAGCUAACCGAUCAUGGAACCCUACUCUAUCGCACCGACCCGAUUUGUUGCCAUAAACCGACGCUCUAAGCGUUUUGUUUCUGGCAACAAAUUUAAUAGAAAUUACAGUGGUUGGUAUCUUCGCGAUAGAGAUGUGUGGAAGCGACGACAACGUCUGCCAUCAGUAGUGGCGUUUUGGAGGCGUUCAGCAACUCUAACGCAGUUCCUCUGCUAUUCGGCCGACGAAGGAAUUCGGAGUUAAUCUUCGGUGACUUUCGGAAGCCACCCCCUUUCCCUGUGGUGACUUUUGCCCCAGUUGGAAGUAGCUUGUAAGGACUAUGGACGGACGAGACGAAGUAAUGUGACGAUUUCUUAAAUGUAUAACAAUAAAAUAACCUAUAGUGUAACAAA